Molecule: ribosomal RNA, 35 nt
Filed under: Arthrobotrys conoides
Lineage: Eukaryota; Fungi; Ascomycota; Orbiliomycetes; Orbiliales; Orbiliaceae
Description: partial 28S large subunit ribosomal RNA
Source: RNAcentral
UGACCUCAGAUCAGACAAGGAUACCCGCUGAACUU